Non-coding RNA from Ixodes scapularis (black-legged tick), 73 nucleotides. NCBI's taxonomy places the organism in Eukaryota, Metazoa, Arthropoda, Arachnida, Ixodida, Ixodidae. The record is from Rfam.
CCCUGGCUAGCUCAGUUGGUAGAGCGCUCCACCUGUAAUGGAGAGGUCCCGGGCUUGAUACCCGGACCAGGCG